UUCAUGAGAGACAGGGAGAGGCAGAGACAAAGUCAGAGGGAGAAGCAGGCUCCAUGCAGGGAGCCCGACAUGGGACUCGAUGAUCCCGAGACCCCAGCAUCACACCCUGGGUGUGAAGACAGGCAUUAAAACCGCUGAGCCACACAGGGAUCCUCAUAAAAAGAGCUUCUUGAUUGUGAAGUACUAUAUAAAAGCUAAUAACUAUGAAGCACUUUUAUGUGCUUUGAGAAGAUCUUAAAUUCUGUAUCAUAGGUAAAUGGCUAAAACACUGUGAAUUAUUUUCGGAAUCAGCAAAGUCUCAGCUAAUCUUAGUUAUAUAUAGCAAUUCAUGCACACAGAAAUUACAACACCAAGACAUACAAUCCCACUGAAACUAUUUUAGCAAACACUAUUCUCAUGGUUUGCCCAAAGCCUUUUUUGUCACCUCAAAACAUAGAUGACUCUCUCUCUAUCCCCCUGCCCUAUUUCUUCCAUCUCAACCCAGCAGAAUAUUUUGAUGUAAGGAAAGGAUAAAAUGGAAAAGGGAUUCUAAGGUCAUAUUUGAGCAACUCAAUAUGAGACUGGAACUUCUAAGACAAAAAUGUGAUUACAAGUGUUGAAAGGGACAGAAGUUUUUUUUAACCUUAGAACACCUCUUAUCUUUAGUAACUCAUUUUAGAACUUACUUCUCUUAGAAACAGUAUUAUAGGUGGUAUAAGGGGACCCACACUGUUGAGGGAAGAAUCUCCAAGAAAGACAAGUCGGAUACAGUGUGGAACCCAAGGAAAAGAAGUAUGGGGCAGAUCACUUAGGCUUCCAGGCAAAAGAAGGCCUCGCCAAUGCACAGAGCAGCAGCAUACCUCCUCAGGGCAAAAAGCCUGACUGACAGGAACCAAAGGAUAAUUUAGCCAGAACUUCCUUUAAAUAGUAGGAGUCAUGGUAUACCACAAAAUAGCCUAUUGUGAUUUGUUAUCCUAUUGAUCUUCUCUACAUAAUUACAACUACAAAUUCAUUUGUGAAGAUGGCACUAAUUUGCAUCACAGUAAACAGAAAGCCUAAUGUAAAUCACAGUAAACACAGUAAUCACAGUAAAUAGAAAACCUAAUGUAAAAUUUACAGAAAACUGUUACCCUUAUUAAUACUAACCAUUAAUUUCAAAUAUACUUACAAACUUUCAAAAAUUAAGACUUCACAUUUCCAUUACAUAAAAGUUCUCUACUAGAGUUAACUGUAGGAAAAGCAAAAGAUUCCUAUUUGCUUAUUUUUCAUUUAUUAAAACAAAUAAACUUUCCAUACCCCUUCUGCACACUGUAGCAACAGGCUUCCAUUUAAAGAGUUUGAAAUAACCAAGAGCACAAUCCUGACAUCCUUAAUCUUUGCUGAAAUUCAACUGAUACGAGAUUCAAUCUAGAUCUAAUGAAGGCUCAUUAUCUCAUCUUUAAAUGUUAAAUACUUAAAUAUAACUGGAGUAUUUAAUUGCAGUUGCAUUUUAAUAAAGUUUAAUACUCUUGGUUCUAAAAAUCCCAUAGGACUGAUUCAUUUUUCAAUAUCAUCAUGUUCUAUUUUUCCUUUAACUCUACAGUACUUUUCCAAAUCUCCACCCUGUCACCUCUAAAUCUCCUUCCCUCAUCCUAUGGUAAACUGAGAUCAUGAAGACAUAGUAAAUCUGACAAUGCCAUUACAUCACAAAGUUCCUGUCUACCUCAUAGAGAGGUUAUGCAUUUAUUUUUAAAUAUUGAACAUACUUUGAAAAGGUUAAAACCAUCAUUAAAAAUGCUUAGUAAUCAGGCACAAAUGACACAUAUUGUAGGACUUCAUUUUUAUAAAAUGUCCAUAACAGGCAAAUCUAGAGAUUGAAAGUAGAUCAGUGACUUCAAGGGGAUAAGGGAUGACUGCCAAUGUGCAUGGGAUUUCUUUCUGGAGUGACAAAAAUGUUCUGGGAUUGGAUUGUGCUGAUGGCUACACAACCUUGUGAAUGUACUAAAUGCCACUGAACUUUAAGUGAGUGGAUUUAUGGUAUGUGAAUUAUUAUCUCAAUUUUAAAAGGGCUUAGUUAAUCUCAGAAAACUACAUAAUCUAUGAUUACAGAAUCUAUGAUUCCAACCAUACAAAAAAGGCAAAACAAUGGAAACAGUAAAAAGAUCCAUAGUUGCUAGGGGCUGGAGUAAGGGAGAGAUGGACAGGCAGAGCACAUAGAUUCUUAGGGCAGUAAAAACACUGUAUGAUACCACCUGAUGGACACAGAUCCUUACACAUUUGACCAAAUCCAUCCAAUACACAACACUAAGAGCGAACUCUAAUGUAAACUAGUGGAUUUGGGGUGAUUAUGAUGUGUCAAUGUAGGUACGUCAAUUGUAACACAUGUACCAUGCAGAUGGGGAAUACUGAAAAAGGGGGAAGCGAAGUAUGUUGGAGGACAAGGGAGUAUAUGGGAAAUCUCUGUACUCUCCACUCAAUCUUGCUGUGAGUCUAAAACUGUUCUAAAAAAGUAAAAUCUUAAUAAUAGAGUUUAGUAGGAUUCUCAGAUAUUACUACAAGAUUUUAAUAGGAUCUCCCAUGAAAAACGAUCAUGGUUCUUCUACUGUUCUGUAUUUUACUAUAAGGAUGCUCUUUACUCCCAAAAAUGACUAUUUUAUUCUUUUAAAAUUUAUUUUUAUUUUAAUUCCAGUGUAACUAACAUACAGAGUUAUAUUAGUUUCAGGUGCACAAUAUAGAGAUUUAGUAAUUGGGCAUAUUAGUGCUUAUCAAAAUAAUUGUACUUUUAAUCCCCUUUGUCUAUUUCACCCACCCUCCAGCCACUUCCCCUCUGGUAACUAUCAGUUCCCUAUAGUUAAGAGUCUGUUUUUGGGGGCGCCUGGCUGGUUCAUUUGGUACAGCACACAAUGCUCAAUCUCAGGGUCAUAAUUUCAAGCCCCACAUUGGGCAUGGAGCACUAUUUAAAAAACAAACAAACAAAACAAGGUCUGUUUUUUGGUUUUUCUCUACUUUAUCCAUUCAUUUAUCAAUAGACACUUGGGCUGUUUCCAUAAUUUGGCUAUUGUAAAUAAUGCUGCAAUCAACAUAAGAGUGCAAAUAUCCUUUUCAGUUAGUUUUUCAUAUUCUUUGAGUAAUAUGCACUAAUACCCAUUAUGAUAUGGGAAUUCGAUUUUUAAUUUUUUUUAGGAACCUCCAUACUGUUUCCAUAGUGGCUUGCAUUCCCAUCCAUGUUGCAAGAGGGUUCCUUUUUCUCUACAUCCUUGCCAACACUUGUUUCUUGUGUUUUUGAUGUUAGCCAUUCUCAUAGGUAUGGAGUGAAAUCUCAUUGUGGUUUUGAUUUGCAUUUCCCUGAUGAGGAGUGAUAUUGAGCAUCUUUCACUUUGUUGGCCAUCUGUAUGUCUUCCUUGGAGAAAUGUUAUUCAUGUCUUCUGCUCAUUUUUAGUUGUAUUGUUAUUUAGGUGCUAAGUUGUGUAAGUUCUUUAUACAUUUUAGAUACUAACCCUUUAUUGGAUGUCAUUUGCAAAUACCUUCUCCCAGUCAGUUGUCUUUUAGUUUCGUUGACUGGUUCCUUUGCAGUAUACAAGUUUAUGCUUUUCUUUCUUUUUUUUUUUUUUUAAGAUUUUAUUUAUUUAUUCAUGAUAGUCACACAGAGAGAGACAGAGAGGCAGAGACACAGGCAGAGGGAGAAGCAGGCUCCAUGCAGGGAGCCCGACGUGGGAUUCGAUCCCAGGUCUCCAGGAUCGCGCCCCGGGCCAAAGGCAGGCGCCAAACCGCUGCGCCACCCAGGGAUCCCAAGUUUAUGCUUUUAAAUAGUCCCAAUAGUUUAUUUUUGCCUUUGGGAGGGCUUUAUAUUUUGCUUUAGUUUCUCUUGCCUCAGGAGACAUAUCUAAAAAAAUACUGCUAUGGCCAAUGUCAGAGAAAUUACUGCCUGAGCUCUCUUCUAGGAUUUUUAUGGUUUCAGGUCUCACAUUUAGAUCCUUAAUUCUAUUUUUGUCUACAGUAUAAGAAAGUGGUCCAGUUUGAUUCUUUUACAUAUAGCUGUCCAGUUUUCCCAACACUAUGUGCUAAAGAGAUGUCUUUUUCUCAUAACAUAUUCUUGUCUCCUUUGUCAAGAACUGAUUGACCACAAAAUCAUAGGUUUAUUUCUGGGCUCUCAUGUGUCUCAAACUUUGUG
This 4129-nucleotide long non-coding RNA is filed under the name Canis lupus familiaris (dog). RNAcentral's name for it is "lncRNA (ENSCAFG00845014979.1)". The record is from RNAcentral. Lineage: Eukaryota; Metazoa; Chordata; Mammalia; Carnivora; Canidae.